This 813-nucleotide ribosomal RNA is filed under the name uncultured bacterium. Its description in RNAcentral is "bacterial SSU rRNA". It matches the Rfam family "Bacterial small subunit ribosomal RNA", at positions 102 to 916 of the family's 1533-position model. The record is from RNAcentral.
ACGGGUGAGUAACACGUAUCCAACCUUCCGGUUACUCGGGGAUAGGCUUUCGAAAGAAAGAUUAAUACCCGAUGUUGCGUAUCUUUCUCCUGAAAGAUACGCCAAAGGAUUCCGGUAACCGAUGGGGAUGCGUUCCAUUAGGCAGUUGGCGGGGUAACGGCCCACCAAACCUUCGAUGGAUAGGGGUUCUGAGAGGAAGGUCCCCCACAUUGGAACUGAGACACGGUCCAAACUCCUACGGGAGGCAGCAGUGAGGAAUAUUGGUCAAUGGACGGAAGUCUGAACCAGCCAAGUAGCGUGAAGGAUGACUGCCCUCUGGGUUGUAAACUUCUUUUAUACGGGAAUAACAUGAGGUACGCGUACCUUAUUGCAUGUACCGUUAUGAAUAAGCAUCGGCUAACUCCGUGCCAGCAGCCGCGGUAAUACGGAGGAUGCGAGCGUUAUCCGGAUUUAUUGGGUUUAAAGGGAGCGUAGGUGGGAUAUUAAGUCAGCUGUGAAAGUUUGGGGCUCAACCUUAAAAUUGCAGUUGAUACUGGUUUCCUUGAGUACGGUACAGGUGGGCGGAAUUCGUGGUGUAGCGGUGAAAUGCUUAGAUAUCACGAAGAACUCCAAUUGCGAAGGCAGCUCACUGGGGUACAACUGACACUGAGGCUCGAAAGUGUGGGUAUCAAGCAGGAUUAGAUACCCUGGUAGUCCACACAGUAAACGAUGAAUACUCGCUGUUUGCGAUAUACAGUAAGCGGCCAAGCGAAAGCAUUAAGUAUUCCACCUGGGGAGUACGCCGGCAACGGUGAAACUCAAAUGAAUUGACGG